RNAcentral lists this ribosomal RNA (253 nucleotides) under uncultured bacterium. RNAcentral's name for it is "partial 16S ribosomal RNA". It matches the Rfam family "Bacterial small subunit ribosomal RNA", at positions 524 to 776 of the family's 1533-position model. The record is from RNAcentral.
UACGUAGGGGGCAAGCGUUGUCCGGAUUCAUUGGGCGUAAAGAGCGUGUAGGCGGCCAGGUAGGUCGGUUGUGAAAACUGGAGGCUCAACCUUCAGAGGUCGACCGAAACCAUCUGGCUAGAGUCCGGGAGAGGAGAGUGGAAUUCCUGGUGUAGCGGUGAAAUGCGCAGAUAUCAGGAAGAACACCCGUGGCGAAGGCGGAUCUCUGGGCCUUACCUGACGCUCAGGCGCGAAAGCUAGGGGAGCGAACUGG